This 253-nucleotide unclassified non-coding RNA is filed under the name uncultured Flavobacteriaceae bacterium. Its description in RNAcentral is "contains 16S-23S intergenic spacer region". It matches the Rfam family "Bacterial small subunit ribosomal RNA", at positions 524 to 776 of the family's 1533-position model. The record is from RNAcentral. Lineage: Bacteria; Pseudomonadati; Bacteroidota; Flavobacteriia; Flavobacteriales; Flavobacteriaceae.
UACGGAGGAUACAAGCGAUCUCCGGAAUCAAUGGGUUUAAAGGGUCCGUAGGCGGGAUAAUAAGUCAGUGGUGAAAGUAUGCAGCUCAACUGUAGAAUUGCCAUUGAUACUGUUGUUCUUGAGUGUUUAUGAAGUGGUUAGAAUAUGUAGUGUAGCGGUGAAAUGCAUAGAUAUUACAUAGAAUACCGAUUGCGAAGGCAGAUCACUAAUAAUUUACUGACGCUGAGGGACGAAAGCGUAGGUAGCGAACAGG